This 27-nucleotide non-coding RNA is filed under the name Bombyx mori (domestic silkworm). The record is from RNAcentral. Lineage: Eukaryota; Metazoa; Arthropoda; Insecta; Lepidoptera; Bombycidae.
UAAAAAGCGAUUUGGAGGCGUGUGUUC